CACAUUUUUUCUUUUAUCUUUUGUCAUCCUACUUUCUAAAUACAAACACAUUUUUCUUUUUCAAGGCAUUCUAAAAUUUAAGGAUGUAGUUGGUGCGAAUGUCCUUCCAAACCACAUCAAAGAGAAUUUAUGGUGCGGUUAAAAGAUUCGCGAAAGAAAUGCUAUACGGUUGCUAUGGAAUAAGGCUCAUAGGAAUUCAACCGCUUAAAAUCAGGGGAGUCGGUUCCAUUUCUCUUAUGUUUCGAUUUAUGUUUGUAGAUGAGUUGUGAGGUUUGCUCUCCAUUGAGGACAAUGAAGGAAAUAAGUAUGGUAUCAAGGUUUCUCAUGGACGAAAUGCUAUAAACGUGGAACAAGGUUUUAGGAGCCACCAUUGCUAUUGUCUCUACACCUAAUGCUAGGCCCCACAAUCAAGCGUGCCUUAAGCUUUGGGGUACACCUUAGGCAUUUGAGAUGGCAAGAAGUACCAUUUGGGAUAAAAUAAGAGAUGUUUAAUAGGUUGAGGAUGUGUUUGGCAAAGAUGACUAAAUUGUUAAGAGACUGAAAGAAUUUAUUGGUGCAUGGAUUAAGGUUUCUGGUUCAACUUUUUUACCUGUUUCUAUUUCAUUUAAACCUUUUAAGUUUGACUCGUUUAAACUUUUAGCUUGACCUUUU
Molecule: long non-coding RNA, 651 nt
Organism: Helianthus annuus (common sunflower)
Lineage: Eukaryota; Viridiplantae; Streptophyta; Magnoliopsida; Asterales; Asteraceae
Exons: 4
Source: RefSeq, a predicted model, not a curated record